GGACACGCCGCGUGAGUGAGAAGGGUUUCGGCUCGUAAAACUCUGUUGUUAAAGAAGAACAUAUCUGAGAGUAACUGUUCAGGUAUUGACGGUAUUUAACCAGAAAGCCACGGCUAACUACGUGCCAGCAGCCGCGGUAAUACGUAGGUGGCAAGCGUUGUCCGGAUUUAUUGGGCGUAAAGCGAGCGCAGGCGGUUUUUUAAGUCUGAUGUGAAAGCCUUCGGCUCAACCGAAGAAGUGCAUCGGAAACUGGGAAACUUGAGUGCAGAAGAGGACAGUGGAACUCCAUGUGUAGCGGUGAAAUAUG
RNAcentral lists this ribosomal RNA (307 nucleotides) under Lactiplantibacillus plantarum. RNAcentral's name for it is "bacterial SSU rRNA". It matches the Rfam family "Bacterial small subunit ribosomal RNA", at positions 390 to 690 of the family's 1533-position model. The record is from RNAcentral. Lineage: Bacteria; Bacillati; Bacillota; Bacilli; Lactobacillales; Lactobacillaceae.